This 1669-nucleotide long non-coding RNA is filed under the name Homo sapiens (human). RNAcentral describes it as "non-protein coding lnc-MBOAT1-2:23". Lineage: Eukaryota; Metazoa; Chordata; Mammalia; Primates; Hominidae. The record is from RNAcentral.
ACCUCAUAUAGCUCAACAAAGGGGUAAUGAAGCUGAUGCUUAGAGAGGUUGAGUAAUCCACCCAUGUCUCUCUGACCCAGGUCUGACCACCAUACUAUUGCCUGCAGAUGAAGAGGAGCAACAUAUUGUAUCCUGUGUUGCUCAAGAGAGCAGAAUUAGGACUUAGAAUAGCCUUCUAAGAAUUGCUCUGUGCCACCAAAUGGGUGGCAGACUUCUAGACAAGUUUUCUAAACUUGUCAGCCUCAACUACAAGUGAGCUGGUGAGAGAAAACAAACAUCACUAUCCAGGGGCUUUUGCUGGACUUACUGAAUGUAACAGAGAUCGGAUUGGAUUGUCUCUAAUGUCUGUUUCACGAAUAGAGUUCUGUAAAUAGUCUGUCUUUUCUGAAGCCAUUGUAUUUUCAGUAUUAGGUCAUUUAGUUGACUGAAAGUGUGUAUUCUGUAAAGAGAGAAAGGGAUGGGGAGAGAAAGGAGACUGUUACUUUUAUUUUCAUGUCCUUUGCUCUCCCACAUGCAUACUCCACCUCUAGCUCUUACACUCAAACAUCUACACUUGCAGCUUACUGUAGAUGCCACUGUCCUUUUCCACAUUUGCACAAGUAGAUUUCUCACUCCCAACCCUUAUUUUGAAAAUAAGGUGUUUCUACAUCUUUCAUUUUAUUUUUAAAAAUAAAAGUUGGACCACAGUUUAGAUAUAUUAAUCACUUUUCCCAGAACUCAUGUUUGGUCAUCUAAAAGCCUGUGUCUAAAAGUUGUGAGGAAUAGUUGAAGCUUUCAUCAAUGUAAAGGUUGGGUAAUACUCUACUGCCAAAAGUAGUUAAUUAAUUUCUGCAGAGUUAAGGUAGUAGAAAUGGGAGCUCUCAUCUGUUUUGAGAAAUGUGUACAAAAUUAAUGUUUUCCCAGAGAAGCAUUUUCCAAUGUCUCCAUCUAAUUUGGCUCCAUUCUGAAGAGAAGCACAAUGAUGCUUCAGCAACUUGAAAUUUUACUAAGUGAACUAACUAAUCCUGCCUUUGAAACAGUGGACUGGGGCUCAAAAGACAAGCUUCUUAGACUAAUACUGGGCACUUUCUCUUUUCUCACUCUCUCUUUAUUCCCUUUUCUUUCUCCUUCUCUUGUUCCAUCUUUUCACUUUGGAAACUAUUAGGUUUCAAAAAUGCAUCUGUAGCUGUUUAUUUUACAUGUGCCUGAUUUUAUGAGUUUAUGGGCUCCUGAAAAUUAAAUUAAUUUUAAAUGAGCUUUAAUUACUAAUGCUUUGGGCCAUUGCCUUUAACAAAGUCAACAUAACAAUCAGGGUUACCUUAGUUUGUCUCUUUGAAGAAUGUAGUCAUUCAUUUGGGCUCUUAUUGAGCAGAGCAGCUUUCUAACUGGAAAAACAAAUAAAUAAAAUAAAACCACUGCUAUAUUUGAAUGCCUGAAUUUAUUUCUUUUCCAGAAAUAGCCACCUUUGAUUUAAGAAACAGGAUUUUAAGUGUGCAUUAAAGGAUUCAUUUUGUUAAUAAUAUCUUGUUAUUUUUCAGAAGAGGAGAGGAUCCUAUUCAUAAUAUUAUGCUAUGCAAAUACAGAGGCAGAGGUUGAAUCAUGACCUGAAGGUCUGAAUUCUGUUCUUAGCUUGGUGCAGAGUGCUUUGUAUGUAACAUUAGUGAAAUCGGCUUACUUCUCAAUACAGUGC